CUGUCAGAUGCUUUACAUAUUGCGAUACUUGUCCUCGGGCAUAUGCUCUCCCACAUGUAGUUAUGGUAUUUGACCAACUCCUUAACUGUACAGGACUCCAAUAAAUAAGGACAUCCAGCUAGUUGAGUCUCACUACUACUAUAAAUAUAGAAUCUUGAGCCACUAUUCAGGUACGUUUUUCAUUGUUCUCCAACUUAUAGCCUCACACAUAUAAUUUCCUUUCUGACUUAAGUAUCGGAGGGCGACGAAAACACACCUCGUUGCAUUUGUUUCAUGUACCGGAAGAUUACGAUCGUGCUCAAUCCGAAUCAUCAAGCUCGGGAAAUCUGCAGGUACAAUUUUUGGUAGCAUCAUAGUGUUAUCCUUUUUUGGAACCGAGCUGUCGAUUCUACCAUAACAAAUUUUUUUAAAAUAAAGUAGCCAGAAAAACAUUAAACAAUUUUUAAACGAGUUCAUUCAAUUGAUUAUGCUAUUAACCAAAAAGGUUUGUAUCAGUUCCUCUUGAUUUCUAAAAUUUUUCUCGUUCAGUUUUCUUAGAUCUCCUUCAACAAUAUCUGUUGCACAGUAAUGAAGAAAAUCAAUGAUAUUAAACUAAUUUAC
This 600-nucleotide long non-coding RNA is filed under the name Olea europaea subsp. europaea. Lineage: Eukaryota; Viridiplantae; Streptophyta; Magnoliopsida; Lamiales; Oleaceae. The record is from RNAcentral.